RNAcentral lists this unclassified non-coding RNA (61 nucleotides) under plant metagenome. RNAcentral's name for it is "partial contains 5.8S ribosomal RNA, internal transcribed spacer 2, and large subunit ribosomal RNA". The record is from RNAcentral.
ACCGACCUUCUCUUUGGAGAGAUGGAUAGCGAGAGGUUGGCCUUCGUCGUCCACGUCGGUG